This 616-nucleotide long non-coding RNA is filed under the name Pan troglodytes (chimpanzee). RNAcentral's name for it is "long non-coding RNA NONPTRT014765". Lineage: Eukaryota; Metazoa; Chordata; Mammalia; Primates; Hominidae. The record is from RNAcentral.
UACAACCUGGAGUUUGGUUAAUAGUAAUGUACCUAUAUCAAUUUCUUUGUUUUGACAAAUUUACUGCAGCCAUAUAGGAUUUUAACAUUAGAAGAACUGGGUGAUGGAAACUCUCUUGUGCUAUCUCUGCAACUUUUUUGUAAAUCCAAAAUUAUUCCAACCUAAAAAGUUUAAGAAAUGACUACACUCUAAAAUAGGCCAUCCAUGCAAAAUAAAAGGGUAACUAUAUAGAAUGCCAAUGAUUGGAAAAUACAAAUCUAAUCAUGUCACCUCUUUAUAAAACCCAAGAGCUUUCCAUGACUUCUAGAAUCAAGACAAAACUCCUUACUGUAUGUUAUGGUUCAUUCAUAUGUCAACUUGGCUAGGCUACAGCAGCCAGUUAUGUAAUUGAACACUAACCUACGUGUGGCUGUGAAGGUGUUUUAUAGAUGUGCUUAACAUCUGCAGUCAGUUGACUUUAAAUAACUAGAGUAACUUCAAGUAAUAAGUUAUCCACCUUGAUAAUGUGGUGGGCUUCAUCCAAUCAACGAAAGGCCUUAAGAACAACAACUAAGGUUCCCAGAGAAGAAGAAAUUCUUCAUCAAAAAAGAAGAAAUUACACGUCAAGAUUGCAGCA